GGUUUUUUUGUUUCCAUUGUUCCUCUUCAUCACAUAAUCCCUCAUUCGCAUUCUGUUUGGAGAAAACCUAGCCGCAGACCAUGGAUUCUCAUCUUCAUCUUUAAGUAAACUGAAAGAAAGGGGAACUCGCCAAAUUUGAAGCCAUCGACUGUGGAAAACCACUCGAUGAAGCAACAUAGUUUUGGAGCGUUUUGGGCUUUUGUCAAACGUGUCAAGGCCGGUUAAGCCAGUCAGCACGUUAAUUGAGGAGUUGCUUGUGCUGAAAAUAUACAAAAUGGAGAUUGCUGAAG
Long non-coding RNA from Helianthus annuus (common sunflower), 290 nucleotides. RefSeq lists it as uncharacterized. NCBI's taxonomy places the organism in Eukaryota, Viridiplantae, Streptophyta, Magnoliopsida, Asterales, Asteraceae. The record is from RefSeq and is a predicted model, not a curated record. The transcript has 3 exons.